Molecule: long non-coding RNA, 1716 nt
Organism: Mesocricetus auratus (golden hamster)
Lineage: Eukaryota; Metazoa; Chordata; Mammalia; Rodentia; Cricetidae
Exons: 2
Source: RefSeq, a predicted model, not a curated record
AAAACCACCAGGGAACGCCCCGGGCUGUAGUCUUGGACCACAUCGUCCAUGCAGGCGGCCCAGGUGGCAUGCCCACAGCCUGGCUUCUCCACUCAUCUUUGAUGGUUCCAUGCUUGGAUUUGGGAGACCCAAGGGUUCACCUUUGAAUUGUUUGGCCACCCUGACUACACAGGUAUUUACAUCUCCAUGUGAAUUUGAGAACCAGGAGGAUUUGGGAACCUUAAUCAGAUGAACACGAGCUCAGCCGAUCAUGUCUUCUGACUGUUACAUGUUAAGUUCCGGGAAGACUGAGUCUCAAUCCCCAGGACUCCUGAGUUCAGCCAGAUCCACGUGCGAGGAGGUGAAGACAAGAGAGGCAAGAGCUGAACAGUGGGAAGGAGUGGUGGGAAGUCACGUGUCAAAAGUCAAAGGUGAUGCAGGGACGACUCAAAGUCUUGGAGUCCCCCCCCAAAAAAAACCUAGGAGUCAAGAGGCCAGUUUCCCUCAUCACUGUCUCACAGCAGAGACUGAUCCCAGACCAUCAGGACUUGAGCAUUCUGAAAGCCAGGAGAACCUGGUGGUGGGAUCUGUUGAUUCACCACUAAAGAAGGGAAAGGAAGCUGACUUCAUUUCUCUGUGAUGGUAGCUUCUGGAAUGAUCUAGAAUGGUUCAACAAAACACAAACUGAGAGGCAGAGGUCAAAGAAGUCCAUAGUGAAUUAGUAGCUCAGUCUAGGCUAAAAAACGCCGGCGCUCUCCGGAGGCAUCUGCUGCAUCCAGGCUGUUUCAGGUUGUGUGUGUCCUCCCCCAUUCAACAACAAAGCCCCUUUGCUUCACAGAACUGAGCUCAACAACUUGGUCAGAAAGGCACAAGCUGGUCUCAGACCUCCCAGCCUCUGCUUCUUCCCUUUCAUGGGCAGUUCAGCUCUCUCCCUCCUAUUGGGAAAGACCAGCCCUCUCCAAAUGGAUGUGCCCAGGGGAGUGGACUCCAACUCUCUGCCAGUCUCUGCAACUCAUCCUCCUUCCAGAAAAAGGACCCCAGGGAGAUUUAAGCUUAGCUUUGUGCUCUGGGAAACCCCUGCCACCCCGAGGUCACUGGGCCUGUGACAGCCCUCCCUCUCCCAGGUCUGUCUGUCAGCGUCUUGGCUCCUCCUCUGAGAGGAUCCCAAAGUACCUCUGAUCUUCCUCCUUUGGCUACCUAGACACCAGCUGGAGAGCCUACAAGCCUAGCAUCCUCCCUUCUCAGAGGCUUAGGAGACCUGAGCCUAAGUCUUCCCUUGAUGGCAGCAGGGUCUUUAGACUCGAGGGCAAAUCAAGCCUAUCUCAUCCCCAAGGCCUUCCUUUGCCCAGUCUCUCUCCCCACAAAGAAGACCCUCUGUCUCAAGAAAACAGACAGGGCUCUCGAGCUGGAAGCCCCCAAAUCCAGCUUGCCUGGAAAUCAUGUAGGAACGAACCGCUUACCUCUUCUGCUAGAAGCAGUUUAAUUACUAAAUUAAGGCAAUUCCUUUGUUUUUCUAAGCGCAAUGACAUUAUAGUAAUACCUGUCGCUAAUGGGUCCUAGACCUCCCUCCCACACCCUCCCACACCCUCCCCCAGUAGAACUUACAGUCCAGUCCCCAGGGACAGCCCCACAUUUCUAUGCAAAUCAAGUGUCCAGAGUGAAUGGGGGAGGAGGCGGAGUAGCACUUUCUCCAUGGCUGGGCGGCUGGAAUAUAUGCAUAAUAAAACACCAUUAACA